RNAcentral lists this ribosomal RNA (253 nucleotides) under uncultured bacterium. RNAcentral's name for it is "partial 16S ribosomal RNA". It matches the Rfam family "Bacterial small subunit ribosomal RNA", at positions 524 to 776 of the family's 1533-position model. The record is from RNAcentral.
UACGUAGGGGGCAAGCGUUGUCCGGAAUUACUGGGCGUAAAGAGCUCGUAGGUGGUUUGUCGCGUUGUUCGUGAAAACCGGGGGCUUAACUCUCGGCGUGCGGGCGAUACGGGCAGACUGGAGUACUGCAGGGGAGACUGGAAUUCCUGGUGUAGCGGUGGAAUGCGCAGAUAUCAGGAGGAACACCGGUGGCGAAGGCGGGUCUCUGGGCAGUAACUGACGCUGAGGAGCGAAAGCGUGGGGAGCGAACAGG